Molecule: ribosomal RNA, 403 nt
Filed under: Salpingoeca fusiformis
Lineage: Eukaryota; Choanoflagellata; Craspedida; Salpingoecidae
Description: partial small subunit ribosomal RNA
Rfam family: Eukaryotic small subunit ribosomal RNA
Source: RNAcentral
GCUUGUCUCAAAGAUUAAGCCAUGCAUGUCUAAGUAUAAACGACUUUAUACAGUGAAACUGCGAAUGGCUCAUUAAAUCAGUUAUAGUUUAUUUGAUAAUACCUUACUACUUGGAUAACCGUGGUAAUUCUAGAGCUAAUACAUGCUACACAACCCGACUUCUGGAAGGGUGGUACUGAUUAGAUACAAAACCAAUGCGGAGCAAUCCGGUUUGUGGUGAUUCAUAAUAACUUUGCGAAUCGCAUGGCCUUGCGCCGGCGAUGAAUCAUUCAAAUUUCUGCCCUAUCAACUUUCGAUGGUAAGGUAUUGGCCUACCAUGGUUACAACGGGUAACGGGGAAUUAGGGUUCGGUUCCGGAGAGGGCGCCUGAGAAAUGGCGACCACAUCCAAGGAAGGCAGCAGG